AUUGAUGCUUUGCAACUUAAAUUAAACAGACCCACUUCAAAAAUCCUAAAAAUUAUGAGUUACCAGCUUGCGUCGCACACUACAAAAUAGAAGUUUUCUAUUGUACUCCUUCAGAAAAGUUUCAGAUUCCAUUCUAUAAGCUAAAAAGAUACAUUUUUCUCUCCUUUCUGCUAUUUAUAGUUCCCCAAAACUUCACCAAAUUCCUUAGUUGGCAAUGUUAGUCGUUCUCACCGACUUGUUCUUCUUCUCGCCGACUUCUUCUUCUUCUCGUCUUUCUUAGUUUCAGACUUCAAGGGUUAAAACCACAGUUGGCAAGCUCGCUGGAGUUUACCGUUCAUAAUUGGUAAGUAGUCGAUUAUCAUCCAAUCUCGUCUUUUUGGCCUUAAACUUGGCUUAAAUGUACUAUAGCUUUCAACAAGCACUUGUUAGUUCACCGAUUGAGUUCGGUGAGCCGGCGUUUAGCUCUUCUUCUCACCAACCUAUCUUUAGCAUUUGAGUUAAUGACUCUGUAAUUUUUUGUGAGAUCUAGCAAAUUUAGUGAUUCGCCGAGUGCCUUUUGGUGAGCAUCAAUGUCACAAUUUUUUGCUCUUUUUCCAUUGUUUUAGCCUCUUUUUUGUGAUGCAUCCUUGCCUUUUAUUUGAGACUUCAUAGCUACAAAACACAAUAAAUAAUUAGAUACGGACUUAAAAAAAGGCAUUAGGACACUAAUUGUUGAAUUAAAAAGGCCUCAAAUGAGUCAAAAUCUUUGACGCAUCACAUCCUUUGAAGCUCAUGGAUAGAUGGAAUGACACUCUUCUUUUUGAAACAUUGUUGGAAUAUCCUCUUCCUUAAUAUUAUCAUCGUAGUGAAACAUUUCUUCAAUCUCUAAUAUAUCUUAUCAUCUUGUAAUAAAAUAAAGACCCCAACUUACUUAUUGAA
Molecule: long non-coding RNA, 918 nt
Filed under: Solanum tuberosum (potato)
Lineage: Eukaryota; Viridiplantae; Streptophyta; Magnoliopsida; Solanales; Solanaceae
Description: long non-coding RNA (STUB_LNC010796)
Source: RNAcentral